This 402-nucleotide ribosomal RNA is filed under the name uncultured Eubacteriales bacterium. RNAcentral's name for it is "uncultured Clostridiales bacterium partial 16S ribosomal RNA". It matches the Rfam family "Bacterial small subunit ribosomal RNA", at positions 355 to 774 of the family's 1533-position model. The record is from RNAcentral. Lineage: Bacteria; Bacillati; Bacillota; Clostridia; Eubacteriales.
UGGGGAAUAUUGCGCAAUGGGGGAAACCCUGACGCAGCAACGCCGCGUGAAGGAUGAAGGUCUUCGGAUUGUAAACUUUUGUCUUGUGGGACGAUAAUGACGGUACCACAGGAGGAAGCUCCGGCUAACUACGUGCCAGCAGCCGCGGUAAUACGUAGGGAGCGAGCGUUGUCCGGAAUUACUGGGUGUAAAGGGUGCGUAGGCGGGUAUGCAAGUCAGAUGUGAAAUCUCCGAGCUUAACUUGGAGCCUGCAUUUGAAACUGCAUAUCUUGAGGACGGGAGAGGCAAGUGGAAUUCCUAGUGUAGCGGUGAAAUGCGUAGAUAUUAGGAGGAACACCAGUGGCGAAGGCGACUUGCUGGACCGUAACUGACGCUGAGGCACGAAAGCGUGGGGAGCAAACA